Molecule: ribosomal RNA, 831 nt
Filed under: uncultured bacterium
Lineage: Bacteria
Description: bacterial SSU rRNA
Rfam family: Bacterial small subunit ribosomal RNA
Source: RNAcentral
CAUGCAAGUCGAGGGGCAGCAUGGUCUUAGCUUGCUAAGGCCGAUGGCGACCGGCGCACGGGUGAGUAACGCGUAUCCAACCUGCCUUACACUCUUGGACAGCCUUCUGAAAGGGAGAUUAAUACAAGAUGUUAUCAUGAGUAAGCAUUUUCGCAUGAUUAAAGGUUUACCGGUGUAAGAUGGGGAUGCGUUCCAUUAGAUAGUAGGCGGGGUAACGGCCCACCUAGUCUUCGAUGGAUAGGGGUUCUGAGAGGAAGGUCCCCCACAUUGGAACUGAGACACGGUCCAAACUCCUACGGGAGGCAGCAGUGAGGAAUAUUGGUCAAUGGACGAGAGUCUGAACCAGCCAAGUAGCGUGAAGGAUGAAGGUUCUAUGGAUUGUAAACUUCUUUUAUACGGGAAUAAACGGAUCCACGCGUGGAUUUUUGCAUGUACCGUAUGAAUAAGGAUCGGCUAACUCCGUGCCAGCAGCCGCGGUAAUACGGAGGAUCCGAGCGUUAUCCGGAUUUAUUGGGUUUAAAGGGAGCGUAGAUGGGUUGUUAAGUCAGUUGUGAAAGUUUGCGGCUCAACCGUAAAAUUGCAAUUGAUACUGGCAGUCUUGAGUACAGUUGAGGUAGGCGGAAUUCGUGGUGUAGCGGUGAAAUGCUUAGAUAUCACGAAGAACUCCGAUUGCGAAGGCAGCUUACUAACCUGUAACUGACAUUGAUGCUCGAAAGUGUGGGUAUCAAACAGGAUUAGAUACCCUGGUAGUCCACACGGUAAACGAUGAAUACUCGCUGUAGGCGAUAUACAGUCUGCGGCCAAGCGAAAGCAUUAAGUAUUCCACCUGGG